RNAcentral lists this long non-coding RNA (602 nucleotides) under Homo sapiens (human). Its description in RNAcentral is "non-protein coding lnc-OLFML1-2:1". The record is from RNAcentral. Lineage: Eukaryota; Metazoa; Chordata; Mammalia; Primates; Hominidae.
AGACAAGGAAUUUUCUUCAGGACUGUUUCCCUCUGGCAGGCUCCGGUAUUAUCACUGAGAAUGGUCCCGUGUGUGUGUGCGUGUGUGUCAUGUUUACAACUUCUGUCCAAGUCUUCUUUCUUUUUUCUCUACCUUUGUGUGACAUUUGAUUUCUCCGCAGGGCUCUGAAUCCCAGUCCUGGUGCGUGUGCGUGCAUGUAUGUGCGUGUGUGUGUGUGUGUGUGUGUGUGUGUGUGUUUGUUGGGGUGGUCGGGGAGGACACUGAAGCAGCACGGUCUGCUCUGUGUCGCUGUGUGUCUGAAACUGUCUAGGGAGAGGCUGCUGCCCAUUUUACAGAUGGCACCUUCGGAAGACAAUGCUGAGCCAGGACCAGCUGCUGAAUGACUCUCGCCUGCCUGCCCCCAACUCUGAUGACUGGAGAUGACUUUCUUCGUGGCUGAGAGCGUAGGGAGGCAUGUGUGGGGGCCCCGGAGCCUUUGCUUCUGUGGGGAGCGGGCACACAGCCCCCUCUGCAAGCCCAGUCCGGGCUGGCAGGGUGUCUCAGACAGGCUGCUGACAGGCAUGAAGCAGAGCUGUGGGACAGGUGUCCAGGGGUGGCCCCAG